UUCCUGGAGGAUUAGUGGUUAGGCCUCAGUGCGCUCAUUGCCGCAGCCUGGGUUCGAUUCCUGGCCGGGGAA
Pangasius djambal is the source of this 72-nucleotide non-coding RNA. The record is from the annotation of a GenBank genome assembly. NCBI's taxonomy places the organism in Eukaryota, Metazoa, Chordata, Actinopteri, Siluriformes, Pangasiidae.